GCACUCCGCCUGGGGAGUACGACCGCAAGNUUGAAACUCAAAGGAAUUGACGGGGACCCGCACAAGCGGUGGAGCAUGUGGUUUAAUUNGAAGCAACGCGAAGAACCUUACCAAGUCUUGACAUACUGUGAGGACACAAGAGAUUGUGUUGUUCUGACCUUUGGUUAGACACAGAUACAGGUGGUGCAUGGUUGUCGUCAGCUCGUGUCGUGAGAUGUUGGGUUAANUNNNNNAANNNAGCGCAACCCUUAUAUCUAGUUGCCAGCAGUAAGAUGGGGACUCUAGAUAGACUGCCAGUGAUAAACUGGAGGAAGGUGGGGAUGACGUCAAAUCAUCAUGCCCCUUAUGACUUGGGCUACACACGUGCUACAAUGGAUAGGAACAAAGAGAAGCGAGCUCGCGAGAGUAAGCAAACCUCACAAAACUAUUCUCAGUUCGGAUUGUAGUCUGCAACU
This 455-nucleotide ribosomal RNA is filed under the name uncultured bacterium. RNAcentral's name for it is "partial 16S ribosomal RNA". It matches the Rfam family "Bacterial small subunit ribosomal RNA", at positions 864 to 1312 of the family's 1533-position model. The record is from RNAcentral.